GACGAACGCUGGCGGCGUGCUUAACACACGCAAGUCGAACGGAAAGGCCCUGCUUUUGUGGGGUGCUCGAGUGGCGAACGGGUGAGUAACACGUGAGUAACCUGCCCUUGACUUUGGGAUAACUUCAGGAAACUGGGGCUAAUACCGGAUAGGAGCUCCUGCUGCAUGGUGGGGGUUGGAAAGUUUCGGCGGUUGGGGAUGGACUCGCGGCUUAUCAGCUUGUUGGUGGGGUAGUGGCUUACCAAGGCUUUGACGGGUAGCCGGCCUGAGAGGGUGACCGGCCACAUUGGGACUGAGAUACGGCCCAGACUCCUACGGGAGGCAGCAGUGGGGAAUAUUGCACAAUGGGCGGAAGCCUGAUGCAGCAACGCCGCGUGCGGGAUGACGGCCUUCGGGUUGUAAACCGCUUUCGCCUGUGACGAAGCGUGAGUGACGGUAAUGUGUAAAGAAGCACCGGCUAACUACGUG
This 468-nucleotide ribosomal RNA is filed under the name uncultured bacterium. RNAcentral describes it as "partial 16S ribosomal RNA". It matches the Rfam family "Bacterial small subunit ribosomal RNA", at positions 28 to 507 of the family's 1533-position model. The record is from RNAcentral.